UACGUAGGGUGCGAGCGUUGUCCGGAAUUAUUGGGCGUAAAGAGCUUGUAGGCGGUUUGUCGCGUCUGCCGUGAAAAUUCGAGGCUCAACCUCGAACUUGCGGUGGGUACGGGCAGACUAGAGUGCGGAAGAGGCGAGUGGAAUUCCUGGUGUAGCGGUGAAAUGCGUAGAUAUCGGGAGGAACACCAGUGGCGAAGGCGGCUUCCUGGCCUGUUCUUGACGCUGAGGCGCGAAAGCUAGGGGAGCAAACGGG
RNAcentral lists this ribosomal RNA (253 nucleotides) under uncultured bacterium. RNAcentral describes it as "partial 16S ribosomal RNA". It matches the Rfam family "Bacterial small subunit ribosomal RNA", at positions 524 to 776 of the family's 1533-position model. The record is from RNAcentral.